This 79-nucleotide transfer RNA is filed under the name Thermoprotei archaeon. Its description in RNAcentral is "tRNA-Gly". It matches the Rfam family "tRNA". Rfam says of the family: Transfer RNA (tRNA) molecules are approximately 80 nucleotides in length. Their secondary structure includes four short double-helical elements and three loops (D, anti-codon, and T loops). Lineage: Archaea; Thermoproteati; Thermoproteota; Thermoprotei. The record is from RNAcentral.
GCGGCCGUGGUCUAGUCUGGACUAGGACGGCGGCCCCCCAAGCCGCAGAACCCGGGUUCAAAUCCCGGCGGCCGCACCA